This is a long non-coding RNA of Chiloscyllium plagiosum (whitespotted bambooshark), 634 nucleotides long. RefSeq lists it as uncharacterized. The record is from RefSeq and is a predicted model, not a curated record. Lineage: Eukaryota; Metazoa; Chordata; Chondrichthyes; Orectolobiformes; Hemiscylliidae.
GACAUUUUAGUUUCCUUUUCUUAAAAAAAAAUUAAAACAAUGCCACUUCGAAGUUGCAAGAGGGUGCGUUUUGUAAAGCACUAUUUCGGAUGCCUGACAAGUCAUGUAUUAAUGAGUAGUGCAGUGUAAAACCCAGAAUGAUAAACCAUGCUGACUUCUACAUAAUUACAAGAAGCAAAAUACUGCAGAUGCUAGACACCUGAAAUAAAAACAGAAAAUACAAGAAAUUUUCAGCAGUAACCAUUGAGAGGAAUAAGGUUAACAUUUUGGGUCAACAUCGUCAUGGUGAUCUGAUGAAAAGACAUCAACCAAAAAUAUUGGAUGGAAUCUUCUCUUUUAUCCCCAGGACUCUGUGGGAAUUUGGAGAAAUGAUUGCUGGGCCUCUUACUGAGAUAUUUGUAUCAUCGAUAGUCACAGGCAUUGCUUUUUGAGGAUGCAACAGAAGUCAAGGAGAUGGUCUUCCAGUCCUGCCGUUACAAAUCCAAUUUUCUUCAUGCUGCUCUAUCGAAUCUUUUUUAAAAAUUCAUUCACAUGAUGUGAACUUCACUGACUGGUCCAGGAUUUAUUGCCCACACCUAGUUGCCUGAGAAAAAGUGGUCGUGAAUCUUCACUUCACCUGAUGAAACAGUAGUGC